CAACACACACUGACAAAAUUUACACAAUUAAUAAUAUUUUGGAGUAAUUUUAUAAUUUUAAUGGCGUUUAUAAAAUAAAUUUAAUGCCAAAACUAUUACCUGACAGGGAGCGUGGCUGGUGCUCUCCCGUGUAAACACAGCAGCCAUGUGUUGUGAGGAGAUGUUACAACAAAAUGUUCGGAAAUUGAACUGCUCCAUAACAGCUGAAAAUGAUAACUGGAGCAUGGAACAAAAGCUCCCACCAGCACUAUCACCACUGCCACCACCACCUAUGGCAAGAUGAGUUAACGACCUUUGGGAAAUUGAACAGCACCAUCACAACUGAAAAUGAUCACUGCAGGCUGAGACAAAAAGCUGCCAUUGUAGAACUUAUUUCCAAUGAACACUAUAACACCACCACCACUACCACAGCACCACCACCACAUAUGGCAAG
RNAcentral lists this long non-coding RNA (433 nucleotides) under Homarus americanus (American lobster). RNAcentral's name for it is "uncharacterized LOC121867446". The record is from RNAcentral. Lineage: Eukaryota; Metazoa; Arthropoda; Malacostraca; Decapoda; Nephropidae.